GGAUAACGCCWUCGUGUUAUUGUAUAGGAGUUAUUGAAAAAUAAAAUAAAGUAGCAAUAAGGACCUCUUAUUGCUACUUUAUUUUAUUAUUUUAUUUAUUUUUUCCUUUUAGUUCGUUUAGUAUUCUACUCUUAUUUAAUUUAAUAAUUUAAUAUAAUUAUUUAAUUUAAUAAUUUAAUAUAAUUUUAAUUAUAUUAAUAAUAAUAUUAGUUUUAUUUAAUAUUUAAUUUCAAAUUUUUCUUUUUUUACAUUUAUACUACUAAUAUUUAUGCUAUAUACUACUAACAUUUAUUAUACUACUAGUUGUACCUAAAUAGAGAAUUCUCUAUUUUUCAAAUUUUAUUUUAAAAGAAAGGGAAAUGUUCGAAAUAGAAUUUUAUGGAUGAAAUAUGAAAACAUUUAAAAUUAGAGCAGGGGGCGGAUGUAGCCAAGUGGAUCAAGGCAGUGGAUUGUGAAUCCACCA
Molecule: unclassified non-coding RNA, 463 nt
Filed under: Psychotria loniceroides
Lineage: Eukaryota; Viridiplantae; Streptophyta; Magnoliopsida; Gentianales; Rubiaceae
Description: partial miscellaneous RNA
Source: RNAcentral